GCCGCUAACAAAGGGUAGAUACCCAGACAUCAUGAGGCAGAUUGUGGGUAGUAGGCUUCCCAACUUUACCGAGGAAGAAGCCGCACUCGUUGCCGGUUCAUAUGAUUUUCUUGGUCUCAACUAUUACGUCACUCAGUACGCCCAGCCAAAACCUAACCCAUAUCCUUCAGAGACACACACUGCCAUGAUGGACGCUGGCGUAAAGCUCACAUGUACUAGUCUAUUACCACUAAUUAGAUACAGCCUUUCUAUACAUAUAAAUAUUCUUUUAUCUCCUUUUUGUUGCAACAUACUUUGUGAGUGACCAUCUGUUAUUUCAUCCUUGUGUUUACAGAUGAUAACUCACGUGGUGAAUUUCUUGGUCCACUGGUAUAUAUCAAUGAUCCACCCCCUAAGAUUUGUUUUUCUUUCAUUUUUUCAGUUUUCAGUAUAACAACCCUAAUUAUGUUUUUUAAUUGAUGUGUAUAUUUAUUUACUUCCAUUUUCACAGUUCGUUGAAGACAAGGUAAACGGCAACAGCUAUUACUACCCAAAAGGCAUUUACUACGUAAUGGACUACUUCAAAACCAAAUACGGAGACCCUUUAAUCUAUGUCACCGAGAACGGUGAGUUUUACGAACUCUUUUCAUUUAUACCACAUAAUAAUUAUUGUAUUUUGAUAUUAGUCGAAGAAACUGACUUUAUUGUGGAAUAUUUUUAAUGUGGCGGUUUAUUUAGGAUUUAGUACCCCCAGUGAAGAAAACCGUGAGCAGGCUAUUGCCGAUUACAAGCGAAUUGAUUAUCUCUGCAGUCAUUUAUGUUUUCUCCGCAAGGUCAUCAAGUGAGUGGAUACUACUAUAAAUGAUUUUCUUCUUAUGUUAUUUCUUCUUCUUUUUUGCUAACAUUUAUAUAUGAUUGUUCUUGUUUUCAGGGAGAAGGGUGUCAACGUGAGAGGAUACUUCGCAUGGGCUCUUGGAGACAAUUAUGAAUUCUGUAAAGGCUUUACCGUCAGAUUUGGACUCAGUUACGUUAAUUGGGAAGAUCUUGACGAUAGAAACCUCAAAGAAUCUGGCAAAUGGUACCAGAGAUUCAUCAACGGGACCGUCAAGAACGCUGUGAAACAAGAUUUCCUCCGCUCAAGCCUCUCUUCCCAGAGUCAGAAGAAGAGGUUCGCUGAUGCAUGAAACACUUUUUCCCCCGGUCAAGAUCAUCUCCAUGUCUCUCACUCUUUCUAGUUGCUCCAAAGAUAAGGAGCUUCUUCUACCUAUAAUAAUGUACUAAAUAAAUAUUCUCAAUAAAAAGAUGAUCAGUUACUAAUGAAUUAAAAAAUUGUCUACAUCUACAUUUUGUCAAGAUGAUCGAGAGAGAGAGUGAAAUAACACAAUUUAAACCAAAAACGUCACUUAGACACACAUAGAAAAUAAAUAAAUAAUUACCCCAAACCGCAAACUAGUUUUGUGUAAUAAAUAUAUAAACAUCAAACCGAUCAGCUUAAAUUCACUAAUUAACUUAAUAAGUUCAACUUUAUAUACUAGAAUAGAUUUUCAACAUAAUAAACAAUGACCAAACCUUAUACAAACUCAAAUCUAGCUACACCAAAGUUCUAUCAUCCUCAACUGAAACUUAAUAGUAUUUUACAUAUGAUUUUCCUAUCAUUCAAAUCCAAAAAGGGAAGAUUGGACCUGUGAUGAUAACAAGAUGGUUUCUUCCAUUUGAUGAGUCUGAUCCUGCCUCCAUAGAAGCAGCUGAGAGGAUGAACCAAUUCUUUCAUGGAUGGUAUAUAUAUAUAUUACAGAACAAUGUAACAGUAUAUAGUGUAUGUAUGUAUAAUUAAAAGAUAUACAUGGAUCAGGUACAUGGAGCCGCUAACAAAGGGUAGAUACCCAGACAUCAUGAGGCAGAUUGUGGGUAGUAGGCUUCCCAACUUUACCGAGGAAGAAGCCGCACUCGUUGCCGGUUCAUAUGAUUUUCUUGGUCUCAACUAUUACGUCACUCAGUACGCCCAGCCAAAACCUAACCCAUAUCCUUCAGAGACACACACUGCCAUGAUGGACGCUGGCGUAAAGCUCACAUGUACUAGUCUAUUACCACUAAUUAGAUACAGCCUUUCUAUACAUAUAAAUAUUCUUUUAUCUCCUUUUUGUUGCAACGUACUUU
RNAcentral lists this long non-coding RNA (2136 nucleotides) under Brassica napus (rape). Its description in RNAcentral is "long non-coding RNA (BNAP_LNC001841)". The record is from RNAcentral. Lineage: Eukaryota; Viridiplantae; Streptophyta; Magnoliopsida; Brassicales; Brassicaceae.